This 450-nucleotide long non-coding RNA is filed under the name Vombatus ursinus (common wombat). RNAcentral's name for it is "lncRNA (ENSVURG00010017971.1)". The record is from RNAcentral. Lineage: Eukaryota; Metazoa; Chordata; Mammalia; Diprotodontia; Vombatidae.
CUCGUCCCGGCUCCCAGAGUCGGUGGCUGCCAACCACACCCCGCCCCUUUCCAGUCUUCUCCUUCUCCCAGCCAGCAGAACCGGGGCAGACUGGCCGUCAGCUGCCGGAGUUCGGAACGCUUGCUUGACGGAGGAGGUGACUAGGAUUCGGCCCCAGGGUUCGGCCCGUCCCUUUUGGCCCAGAAACAGAGAGAGGACUCUUCAUUACACACUAGGAGAAGAUGUAAGGAAGAAAGGAGGAGAGAGAAAGAGAAAGAAAGAAGAGAGAGGUGAGAGAAAGAGAAAAAGAGAAGUAGAUGAGAAGAGGGAGGGAAGAAGAGGGAGAGAGAGACAGAGGGGGGGAAGAGAGGGGGGAAGAGGAGAGAGAGAGAGAGAGAGAGAGAGAGAGAGAGAGAGAGAGAGAGAGNNNNNNNNNNGAGAGAGAGAGAGAGAGAGAGAGAGAGAGAGAGA